UUGGACGAGCCCGGGGUCAAUGGUAGUGGAUGAAUGACACCCCUCAAACUAAGGCUGAUAAGGCACCCCGGAAGUUGAUGCAACCUUGAGAAAAGAAGUCGGACACAUUUUGGGGACACCGGACCAAGAAAGCGGUAUGGAAAGACCAAGUCAGGAAAGAACCACAUAACACGAAGAGACUUCAGAGCUUGCAAGCUAACCAACAUGGUGAGAUCACAAAAAGCCAAACACGAAAUAUCAACAUGAGAGUUCAGCCAGGUAUGACUUUAUCACUCUGAUUUUGCGUAUGUUCUGUUGACACGUCACAACAUGACAACACACACUGAGGCAAGUUGUUUGUUUAGCCAGGGCCUUUCUAGCCAUCCCUAUAUGUAUGUUUCCCUUCGUAAACCCCGUUGAGCCUUAGCCAUUUUAUUCAUUGUAAACCCCAUGUUAACGUUUAA
Molecule: long non-coding RNA, 443 nt
Filed under: Lathyrus oleraceus (garden pea)
Lineage: Eukaryota; Viridiplantae; Streptophyta; Magnoliopsida; Fabales; Fabaceae
Description: Pisum sativum (pea) long non-coding RNA (PSAT_LNC004638)
Source: RNAcentral